AGACGGCCCCGUAACACGGGCCGCCCCCGCCAGAGGACCCCCUAACUCUGUUUCUAUAAUGUUUCUUCUGAGUAAACAAGCAAAUAAAUUAAAACUUUCAACAACGGAUCUCUUGGCUCUGGCAUCGAUGAAGAACGCAGCGAAAUGCGAUAAGUAAUGUGAAUUGCAGAAUUCAGUGAAUCAUCGAAUCUUUGAACGCACAUUGCGCCCGCCAGUAUUCUGGCGGGCAUGCCUGUUCGAGCGUCAUUACAACCCUCAGGCCCCCGGGCCUGGCGUUGGGGAUCGGCGGAAGCCCCCUGCGGGCACAACGCCGUCCCCCAAAUACAGUGGCGGUCCCGCCGCAGCUUCCAUUGCGUAGUAGCUAACACCUCGCAACUGGAGAGCGGCGCGGCCACGCCGUAAAACACCCAACUUCUGAAUGUUGACCUCGAAUCAGGUAGGAAUACCCGCUGAACUUAAGCAUAU
RNAcentral lists this ribosomal RNA (465 nucleotides) under Fusarium solani. RNAcentral's name for it is "eukaryotic LSU rRNA". The stretch from base 93 to 246 matches the Rfam family "5.8S ribosomal RNA". Lineage: Eukaryota; Fungi; Ascomycota; Sordariomycetes; Hypocreales; Nectriaceae. The record is from RNAcentral.